Molecule: microRNA precursor, 172 nt
Filed under: Olea europaea subsp. europaea
Lineage: Eukaryota; Viridiplantae; Streptophyta; Magnoliopsida; Lamiales; Oleaceae
Source: RNAcentral
GCUUGAUAGACAGCACGCACAGUAUUUUUCUCUCUCUCUCUCUCUCUCUCUACAUUUUUUUUUAAUUCUUCUCUCUCUAUGAAAGGGUAAAGUUAUGUUUGUAUUGGUGUUGUUAUGAUGAGAGAGAGAGAGAGAGAGAGAGAGAGAGAGACGUUAGUGAUUCAUUAUUAAU